Molecule: long non-coding RNA, 1342 nt
Filed under: Fragaria vesca (wild strawberry)
Lineage: Eukaryota; Viridiplantae; Streptophyta; Magnoliopsida; Rosales; Rosaceae
Description: long non-coding RNA (FVES_LNC001602)
Source: RNAcentral
GAGAUUGAACUGAUUUUGAAUCUUGGAGUUUCUUUUUCUCUUCAUGCUCCUUCAGGAUUGUAAUGUUACUGAGUUGGUUGCUUGGAAGAGCUUGGCCUGCUUUGCAGUCUGGGUAAGCUAUUCUUUCUUGUUGUUUUAUUAUUAUUACCAGCCUCUUGACCCGCACUACGUCCGUGUCAAUUUGCUUUUUUACAAUGCAUUUAAAAUUGACAUUUUACAUUAACAAAUUUUUUCCGUUUUAAAAAAGUUAAGAGUGAAUUUGUUUGUGAUUUUUUUUUCUGUUUUUUAUUUUCAAUUUACUGUUUUACUCAUCAUCUAGUGUUUUAUCCUCAACCAAUCACUCCCAUCUCUCCCGCUUUUUUCUCCGGUAAAAAAAGGAAUGAAAUUAAAAAAACAGAACAGACAGUUGUGUGGUUUCUAAAUUCCUGAAGUUUUAAAUUUUAAUCAAUACAGGGUAUUUUAGGUAGUUCAAAAAUUUAACCAAAACUCCUUGUUAUAAAUAUUAUAAUCUAUGUGGCUGUCCACGUAAUUACUCAUUAGUUAUGUACUCUGAUGUAAACCCUACCUCUAUAUAAAGAGGCUAAUGAAAAUGAAUGAGUAGACUUCUACCUCCUCCCAACUAUUAUCUCUGUGUCUUCUCUUUUUCUUUUCUUUACUUUACAACACGUUAUCAGCACGACUCUACCUUUGAGUUGAUAACGACUAAACCCUAGAAAUCCAGAAUUGAUUCUUUAUCAUUCACCUUUGCACCAUCGCACAAUUUUCUUUUGUUUCUAGACUAUGAUGAUUUGAAAAUCAUACGGUUCAACUUAAAUGUUGUUUUUCACCGGUGUUUUUGAUCUAUGAGUUUGAUUUGCUAGCUUAUUUUUAUAAUUCUUGAUGUUAAUUGUUCUAUUAAUAUGAUCGGCAUCAAGAUUUUCAUUUUGUAUGUUACCCACAUGAUCAUGAUCAUCAUUCCUUUGGUAUCUAAUACAAUUAGAAUUUUUUUUUCUUUUUUUUUGUACUUGUUUUAGUUCCAUGUUGAUUUUGUCUAUUAAUCUUGCCAUCAAUUUUGUCUUUAAUCUUGCCAUGAUUUUAGUUCCAUGUUGAAGGAACCUUCCUUUUUUUUUUUUUUACGGCAAUAGUGGAUACCUUUAAUCAAGUUUUCUUUUAUGAUCCCAAAUUGUGUAUGAAAUCUAGUUUGUAUUCAAUCUUUGGAUGAUAGAGACGGACAAACACUUACAGAUAUCUUUCCAAACUUCGGAAAGGCAUUUCCAUACUAGAGCAAAGAUCAAGUUCUUGCUAUUUGGAGACUUUUAAUUGAAAAAUCUCUCAUGACACAAUGAAAUCAAGGUAUGUUUUU